This 446-nucleotide ribosomal RNA is filed under the name uncultured bacterium. RNAcentral's name for it is "partial 16S ribosomal RNA". It matches the Rfam family "Bacterial small subunit ribosomal RNA", at positions 338 to 795 of the family's 1533-position model. The record is from RNAcentral.
CCUACGGGGGGCAGCAGUCGAGAAUCAUUCACAAUGGGGGAAACCCUGAUGGUGCGACGCCGCGUGGGGGAAUGAAGGUCUUCGGAUUGUAAACCCCUGUCAUGUGGGAGCAAAUUAAAAAGAUAGUACCACAAGAGGAAGAGACGGCUAACUCUGGGCCAGCAGCCGCGGUAAUACAGAGGUCUCAAGCGUUGUUCGGAAUCACUGGGCGUAAAGGGUGCGUAGGCUGUUUCGUAAGUCGUGUGUGAAAGGCGCGGGCUCAACCCGAGGACGGCACAUGAUACUGCGAGACUAGAGUAAUGGAGGGGGAGCCGGAAUUCGCGGUGUAGCAGUGAAAUGCGUAGAUAUCGAGAGGAACACUCGUGGCGAAGGCGGGUUCCUGGACAUUGACUGACGCUGAGGCACGAAGGCCAGGGGAGCGAAAGGGAUUAGAUACCCGGGUAGUC